AUGAAGUACUGGGUGAUACAAGCAGCACGUACAUUUACAUACAUCUUGCAGGCAUUUCUAAGUAGUGCAAGGACUGGCAACUGGCUUUCAGUGUUCAGAAAUUUAAAAUUCUGCACUUCACUGAAUGAAAAAAACUUGGUACCCUACAACUACAACAGCAGUAAUUGGAAUCAGUCAACUCUUAUAGAUACAUUUCCACAUACAAGUGAAAGGUCCUGUCCAAAAUACCACAUAUGAGACAAGAAGAAAGAAUUUUGGCAUGAGUGGAAGAAGGAGGAGAAGAAGAAUCUGGAAGAGGAAGAAAACCUAGAAAAUAAUUAAGUAGCAUCUAUCAGAGCUAAUAGUAUUGAAAUUUGACCAGGGCAAUUAACACAGUGACCAUUGUACCAAGUUAGAAUGGUCAUCAGAAGAAGAUGGAGCUGAGAUUCUUCCAUCUAAUCUAAGCAUGUGAUCAGUUAUUUUACUUAGACAAAGACAAGCAAAUGAAGUGGAGUUACUGUUAUUGGUAGGAAAGAGGUAAAAGCUGGGACAAAAGAUGGCGAAGAUAUUGUGGACUGUUUUCAUCUCUUUGUAACUGAAGAAACACUGACUAAUUACAUAUACAAAUACUCACAUUGUUCAAUUAAGGUAUAUGCUUUGUAUGAGCCAAAUUCUUUUUACAAAAAGUAAUGCAGAUAUUUAUUAGGGCUAGCAACCAAAUGGUCCAUACAAAUUUGAUAACACUGCACCCGCUGUCAUGAAACGUUUAAUAUAUACAGGUAGAAAUAUAACAGGUGAUAAUUAAAGCUCACCUCAAUUCCAUUGGCUGAUGAACUGAUGACCCAACAACAACUAUAGUUUAAUUUAAUUGGAUAGAUAAAAAAAUCUAUUCACAAAGCGGUGGCAGAAAAACACACACACACACACACACACACACACACACACACACACACACACACACACACAGUAAGUCUCCUCUGACAUGCAGUUAUGAUACUGAUCAGACUGAUCCAACAACAAGGGAACACGCAAAACCCGAAAUCGUCACCUAUUAUAAUCAGCCAACAAGAAAUGUCAAUGUGAUGGAGCAUCUGAAAGAACAACAUUCCAUGACUUGAGUAUCAUGUAUGUUGUCUACGAGACUUUUUUCCUUCAGUUUUAAAUAGUACUAUCACAAAUAGCCAAGUAAUAUAUAAAGAAAAAACAAAUGUCAUUAUUACUGGGAGACAAUACCUGGUGCUAACAUAACCACAAACUGUGCAUAGGAGUACAAUGGAAAAUUUGUCUGAUCCUCUACAACAAGUUACCAAUGAAACUGAAGUUUCUGACAUUGAAAAACUCAGUGGUAUAUGUCAAGUCUAUCCACGAUGCAAAAAUUAGAAGACAAAAAAGGCAUGUAUUAAUUGUCAAAAAUAUUUGUGUAAUGAACAUGCUUGAUAAUGUGAAGUGCAAAGCUCAGAUGCAUGAUAAAGAUUAAGUCACAAAAAUUAAAUAAAAAGAAAUACUUUUUUCCAGUUCUGUUUUAUAAGUGCCUUA
Long non-coding RNA from Schistocerca serialis cubense, 1515 nucleotides. RefSeq lists it as uncharacterized. The transcript is spliced from 3 exons. The record is from RefSeq and is a predicted model, not a curated record. NCBI's taxonomy places the organism in Eukaryota, Metazoa, Arthropoda, Insecta, Orthoptera, Acrididae.